GACGAACGCUGGCGGCGUGCUUAACACAUGCAAGUCGAACGGAAAGGCCCCUUCGGGGGUACUCGAGUGGCGAACGGGUGAGUAACACGUGAGUAACCUGCCCUUGACUUCGGGAUAACUUCAGGAAACUGGGGCUAAUACCGGAUAGGAAUCCUUGCUGCAUGGUGGGGGUUGGAAAGCUUCGGCGGUUUUGGAUGGACUCGCGGCUUAUCAGCUUGUUGGUGGGGUAGUGGCUUACCAAGGCUUUGCCGGGUAGCCGGCCUGAGAGGGCGACCGGCCACAUUGGGACUGAGAUACGGCCCAGACUCCUACGGGAGGAAGCAGGGGGGAAGAGUGAACAAGGGGCGGAAGCCUGAUGCAGCAACGCCGCGGGCGGGAUGACGGCCUUCGGGUUGUAAACUGCUUUCAGCAGGGGCGAAGCUUGUGGUGACGGUACCUGCAGAAGAAGCACCGGCUAACUACGUG
RNAcentral lists this ribosomal RNA (465 nucleotides) under uncultured bacterium. RNAcentral's name for it is "partial 16S ribosomal RNA". It matches the Rfam family "Bacterial small subunit ribosomal RNA", at positions 28 to 507 of the family's 1533-position model. The record is from RNAcentral.